Molecule: ribosomal RNA, 519 nt
Filed under: Solegnathus spinosissimus (spiny pipehorse)
Lineage: Eukaryota; Metazoa; Chordata; Actinopteri; Syngnathiformes; Syngnathidae
Description: partial 16S ribosomal RNA
Rfam family: Bacterial large subunit ribosomal RNA
Source: RNAcentral
CCCGCCUGCCCUGUGACCAUGUGUUUAACGGCCGCGGUAUUUUGACCGUGCGAAGGUAGCGCAAUCACUUGUCUUUUAAAUAAAGACCUGUAUGAAUGGCACGACGAGGGCUUAACUGUCUCCUUCUCCAAGUCAAUGAAAUUGAUCUCCCCGUGCAGAAGCGGGCAUAACAACAUAAGACGAGAAGACCCUAUGGAGCUUUAGAUGAACGAGCAACUUACAUUAAGAACCUCAAACUAAAAGAAUAAACCAAGUAAGUCUUGCCCGAAUGUCUUUGGUUGGGGCGACCGCGGGGUAAAACUGAACCCCCGUGAGGAACAGGUUAAAACCUUAAAACCAAGAGCAUCAACUCUACGUUUCAAAACAUUUGGCCUUUGGACCCGGCAAAGCCGAUCAACGAACCGAGUUACCCUAGGGAUAACAGCGCAAUCCUCUUUCAGAGUCCCUAUCGACAAGGGGGUUUACGACCUCGAUGUUGGAUCAGGAUGUCCUAACGGUGCAGCCGCUGUUAAGGGUUCG